GGCCAGAUGCCUUUCAAAGUAUUCUUCAAAACCCCGCCAGAGCCGGAAGGCAGCAACGGUAUGAAGUCUAAACUUGUGCUUAGGAUUAUCUGGCCUUU
RNAcentral lists this signal recognition particle RNA (98 nucleotides) under Treponema sp. Its description in RNAcentral is "signal recognition particle sRNA small type". It matches the Rfam family "Bacterial small signal recognition particle RNA". Rfam says of the family: The signal recognition particle (SRP) is a universally conserved ribonucleoprotein involved in the co-translational targeting of proteins to membranes. Archaeal SRP consists of a 7S RNA and homologues of the eukaryotic SRP19 and SRP54 proteins. Lineage: Bacteria; Pseudomonadati; Spirochaetota; Spirochaetia; Treponematales; Treponemataceae. The record is from RNAcentral. RNAcentral also lists the same sequence under 1 other name.